This 965-nucleotide ribosomal RNA is filed under the name Escherichia coli. RNAcentral's name for it is "partial 23S ribosomal RNA". It matches the Rfam family "Bacterial large subunit ribosomal RNA", at positions 582 to 1551 of the family's 2925-position model. Lineage: Bacteria; Pseudomonadati; Pseudomonadota; Gammaproteobacteria; Enterobacterales; Enterobacteriaceae. The record is from RNAcentral.
GAGCAAUCUGUGUGACUGCGUACCUUUUGUAUAAUGGGUCAGCGACUUAUAUUCUGUAGCAAGGUUAACCGAAUAGGGGAGCCGAAGGGAAACCGAGUCUUAACUGGGCGUUAAGUUGCAGGGUAUAGACCCGAAACCCGGUGAUCUAGCCAUGGGCAGGUUGAAGGUUGGGUAACACUAACUGGAGGACCGAACCGACUAAUGUUGAAAAAUUAGCGGAUGACUUGUGGCUGGGGGUGAAAGGCCAAUCAAACCGGGAGAUAGCUGGUUCUCCCCGAAAGCUAUUUAGGUAGCGCCUCGUGAAUUCAUCUCCGGGGGUAGAGCACUGUUUCGGCAAGGGGGUCAUCCCGACUUACCAACCCGAUGCAAACUGCGAAUACCGGAGAAUGUUAUCACGGGAGACACACGGCGGGUGCUAACGUCCGUCGUGAAGAGGGAAACAACCCAGACCGCCAGCUAAGGUCCCAAAGUCAUGGUUAAGUGGGAAACGAUGUGGGAAGGCCCAGACAGCCAGGAUGUUGGCUUAGAAGCAGCCAUCAUUUAAAGAAAGCGUAAUAGCUCACUGGUCGAGUCGGCCUGCGCGGAAGAUGUAACGGGGCUAAACCAUGCACCGAAGCUGCGGCAGCGACACUAUGUGUUGUUGGGUAGGGGAGCGUUCUGUAAGCCUGUGAAGGUGUACUGUGAGGUAUGCUGGAGGUAUCAGAAGUGCGAAUGCUGACAUAAGUAACGAUAAAGCGGGUGAAAAGCCCGCUCGCCGGAAGACCAAGGGUUCCUGUCCAACGUUAAUCGGGGCAGGGUGAGUCGACCCCUAAGGCGAGGCCGAAAGGCGUAGUCGAUGGGAAACAGGUUAAUAUUCCUGUACUUGGUGUUACUGCGAAGGGGGGACGGAGAAGGCUAUGUUGGCCGGGCGACGGUUGUCCCGGUUUAAGCGUGUAGGCUGGUUUUCCAGGCAAAUCCGGAAAAUC